Molecule: transfer RNA, 89 nt
Filed under: Comamonas sp.
Lineage: Bacteria; Pseudomonadati; Pseudomonadota; Betaproteobacteria; Burkholderiales; Comamonadaceae
Also listed under: 9 other names
Description: tRNA-Leu
Rfam family: tRNA
About the family: Transfer RNA (tRNA) molecules are approximately 80 nucleotides in length. Their secondary structure includes four short double-helical elements and three loops (D, anti-codon, and T loops). Further hydrogen bonds mediate the characteristic L-shaped molecular structure. tRNAs have two regions of fundamental functional importance: the anti-codon, which is responsible for specific mRNA codon recognition, and the 3' end, to which the tRNAs corresponding amino acid is attached (by aminoacyl-tRNA synthetases). tRNAs cope with the degeneracy of the genetic code in two manners: having more than one tRNA (with a specific anti-codon) for a particular amino acid; and 'wobble' base-pairing, i.e. permitting non-standard base-pairing at the 3rd anti-codon position.
Source: RNAcentral
GCCUCGAUGGUGAAAUUGGUAGACACCCGGGACUUAAAAUCCCGUGCCGCGAAAGUGGCGUGCCGGUUCGAUCCCGGCUCGAGGCACCA